AAGCGUUGUUCGGAUUCAUUGGGCGUAAAGGGUGCGUAGGUGGCGCGGUAAGUCGGGUGUGAAAUCUCGGAGCUUAACUCCGAAAUUGCAUUCGAUACUGCCGUGCUCGAGGACUGGAGAGGAGACUGGAAUUCAUGGUGUAGCAGUGAAAUGCGUAGAGAUCAUGAGGAAGACCAGUGGCGAAGGCGGGUCUCUGGACAGUUCCUGACACUGAGGCACGAAGGCCAGGGGAGCAAACGGG
This 241-nucleotide ribosomal RNA is filed under the name uncultured bacterium. Its description in RNAcentral is "partial 16S ribosomal RNA". It matches the Rfam family "Bacterial small subunit ribosomal RNA", at positions 536 to 776 of the family's 1533-position model. The record is from RNAcentral.